AGCACGUCACUUUGCUGAGAGGUAUUCAGAUAAGACCAAGGUCAGUCGGAAAAGAAAGGAGCCAACAAUUUUCACAUGGAACUCAUUUGCCAAUAUAGAAGCAAGGAGAUUAUUCCAGUUGUCCACAAACAUGUUAUUCCAUCCAAACAAAGCAAGACGACAAGGCAGUGACUCUUUAACUGCCGUUUAUGAGAUUGGAUUCGCCCCCAACAAAGAUAUCAACCUCGUGUUCGACAUCACCCGCACCCAUGUCAAGAUUAAAAUUGUCUCGCUUGCUGAAGUUUGUCUUAUAGUUAAUUUGCAGGGUUGACAUUUGAUUUGGUUUAAAUGUAAUGUUUGCAUUGGGUUGUAAUAUUCUACAUCAAAACGUGUAUCAAAUGAAGUACAGCGUGUAACGAGUGUUUUAUUCAUGGAACUUCUGGUAAAAAUGGACUAAAUCCAAGCGUCAACCCUGCACGUCACUAGUUUAUUACUUGAGAUAUGUUACUAAGUUGUAGCACACCUCUCUACUCACAUCCGAUGAUUUUAUUGUAAUUUGUUUAUAUUUUUGUUUAUACCUAAACGAACCUGAAACGACACUUUUGGGGUGUUCUUCAAACAGAAAUGACGUCGUUGAAAUCUUUUUCUUGCUGAAAAGAUGCAUAAAAACGAAAAAUUGUAAAAAAUAUUGUAGAAUUAUCACUUUAGGUGAUGGCCAGGUAGAACACUAUGAUGGCACGACUGGUUUUCUGUUUGACUGUAAAAUAUGUGUGGACAAAUAUGUAAUAAGACAAUUUGUUGUGCACUGGUAAAUGCAUGUUUAUUCAUAUCAAAUUGGAUACAAAUAUUUAUUUUGAUGAAGUUAACUUUUGAAAAGGAAAAAACUCCAUUACGUGAAAUGCAUACAGGAAUCUUUUAUUGUGGUUUCAUUUAAAGAAGUGAGCAAGAUGUAAAUAUUCAAUAAACUGUUAACGCUGUAAUAAAAAUUAUUACACUUAAAAAAAACAACAGCAGUAUGAAAUUGUAAAAUUUGCUCAAGUAAUUGCAGAAAUGUCCACACGUAUUGAAACGGAUUUUUAUAAAAUUGUGAAUAUGCUGUUAUGACGCAUGCUAAGAAUGAAUGGUUUCCGGUGUUUUGAUAUAGUUUGUCUGAUCAGUAAUACAUGCGUAGUUUUAUUGCUGGGAUGGGGUAGAAAUGUUUGUUUUCAUAAAAUCAAACGAGGGGUUGGGGCAGUUUUUUUGAAAUCAUUACAGAAGGAAAACUGACCUUUCGCCUGCAAAACAAAGAGGAAAUGUUUAAUGUUCACAAAGAAAAAAAUGGAUUGUAGAAACAUUUUCCUUUUGGCAUCUUUUGUCAAUAAAAAUGUAGGGCCUUACAUGUAGGAUUGGCAUUUAUCGCAUCCUUAUGCAACUCAAAAUUUUGAGAAAUUCUCAUCAAAUUCGUAUCGACAACUAGUUGUCGCGUGUUUCUUUUUAUGUUGUUCUUGUACCUGGUACUUUCUUAAUUCUAUUUUUCGGUCGGUAUCAAGGGGUGAUUGCGAAGAUUAUGGAAGAUUAGAUGCCAGUCCUGCACGUUCUGUUGGAUUAUUUUUGCUGAAUGUUUCUUGAUCACUGAACACCGUUGAUGUUUAUUAGCAUUUUCUGAGUAAAUGUGCUUAGUUACUUUAGGUAAACUAUUUUUUUCCAUAACCUUUUCAAUUUUAUUUAGAUAUUAUUAUAAUUUUUUAAAAAAUCACUAUGCCUGGGAUAAAGUUGUAAACUUACUUUGUCUUCAUGCUGUUCUUGAUUUGCACGACGCGUAAAUUUAAGUGUUCACUCAAAAUUGUGCCACCUAAAUCCUAUUUUAAGAUUUAAAGAGGGCAAAAAUGAUGAAAAAUAUGAGGUUCAUAUUCAUUUAUCUAUGAGAAAUGCAUUCAUCAAAUUACAGAACUGAAUAACAUUUGACUGCUGUUUUGUGUUGUGCAAUCAUCAGCAUGGCGACAUAGAGUAAGGUGUGGUGUCGUGAGUGUGUACCCGCGUGGAAGGGAUAACGUUUACAGGCAAUUUCAAAGGGGGGAGAGGAGUCUUUUUCUGAAAAAUGGACCUUUUACCAUUAAAUCCUCAUGUACCUGGAUUAAAUUUUACCCAGCAAAAAGGGUGGUUCUUUUGA
Molecule: long non-coding RNA, 2128 nt
Filed under: Lingula anatina
Lineage: Eukaryota; Metazoa; Brachiopoda; Lingulata; Lingulida; Lingulidae
Description: uncharacterized LOC106151837
Source: RNAcentral